Molecule: small nucleolar RNA, 135 nt
Filed under: Dasypus novemcinctus (nine-banded armadillo)
Lineage: Eukaryota; Metazoa; Chordata; Mammalia; Cingulata; Dasypodidae
Source: RNAcentral
CACGGCCCUUAUCGAAGCGGCAGCUGCUUUCACAUAGCUCCUGUGGCCGAAAAGGAGCCCAGAGUGAUGGCUUUCCUUGAUGGUCACUGUUUCGUUUGCUGUCACUGAUCUGCAAAGUUUCGGAAAAGGAGAGUU